This is an RNA transcript of Glossina fuscipes, 2296 nucleotides long. RefSeq lists it as uncharacterized. The transcript has 6 exons. The record is from RefSeq and is a predicted model, not a curated record. NCBI's taxonomy places the organism in Eukaryota, Metazoa, Arthropoda, Insecta, Diptera, Glossinidae.
CAAUUAUUUACAAAUUUUGUAUAUAUGAUUUUAAGAUUUCAAUUUCAGUAAAAACAAAAACUUCGUAUUGCAUCGUAGAAUUGUACUUUAAUGGAAUAUCGUUUUUAAGAACGGAGAAGCAAACAGAAUCACUGCCCAGUUCAGUAGAACAAGCAAACAAGUCAAGAAUAUAAGUGAGAAAAGCCAACGAUAAAAUCAAUUGAUAUACAGCGACGUAAACGCCAGCGCAGCAGAAGAAUAAAAAAGUCUAAAAAUAUUUCUUGUUGUAUUCUAAAGAGGAAAUUUCGCAUAAAGAACCACUACAAAGUCAUCAUAAUUAAUUGGAUAUAGCGUUGAUAAAAUUAAAAAAAAUUAAAAAAAAAAAAACGAAAAGCAAUAGCCAUGGUCUUGAAAGUGUAUAUUAGUGGUAUGUCUGGUAACAAGGAGGUGAAAAAACGCCAGCAGCGCGUCCUUAUGAUACUUGACAGCAAGAAUAUUCAGUAUGAAGUCAUUGAUAUUACAGAGCCUGGACGUGAAGCGGAUAAGGAAUUUAUGCAAAAUAAGUCGACCAGCAAUGGGGCAACGGUUAGUGAUCCGGAGCCACGACAUGCACUGCCACCACAACUCUUCAAUGAGGAAGACUAUUGUGGCGACUACGAUGCCUUCGAUUUGGCAAAUGAAAUUGAUACUCUCGAGCAAUUCUUGAAGGUGGCUGCUGCAGACAUUACAGCGGUUUCUAAUACGCAAAUCGAAUUAAAACAGGAAAAUGGCGAAGGUAAUGAUAAUGGUGGCGAGAAUAAAGAGAACGAAAGCACCGAGCAUAAUAAGGAAGAUGAAAAUGCUGAGAAGCCAGAGUGUAAUCGCUUACAACGUUCAACUUUACGCCAAGCAGCUGGUAAAGUGAUCUUAGUAAUGAAAAUUUCCAUAAAACUUUUAAAGAACAAUGAACAAAUCGAUGCUUCUCCUGAUAAAGAUGACAAGAAGGAUGACGAACAAAGAUCACCUAUCAACAAUAAUAGCACUGAGCCAUUGAGUGGCGCGACAAUGCCGGCUGCCUUGACUGAAGUAAAUGGCGAAAGUACAGUUAUGGUUACAAAAGAUUUGGUAGAAACAGCGGCAGCUGAAGUUUUCGUAGGAGAAGCGCAGAAGGCUAUUAAAUUAGAAAGCCCAUCGUCAAGGUGCACAACUAAUAACCAUUUAAUGGGAACAAAUCAAAACCUAAUUGAUUCUAAUAAAAAACCUAAUGAUCAGGAAGAAGCAAAAGCCGAAGCCGAAGCAGAAGCAGAAGAAAACUUAAAACCGUCCAAAAUUAAUAAUGACGAAUCAUCAUCAAUUCAAGAUACAAUAAAUGAAGAAAAUCUUCCAAUGAGAACAAAGAGCCAAGAAUACCAAUCUUCCCAUAAAGAAGAUGGUGAAACGGAAAAUGAUGGAAAAUUUUUACCAAUCGAUUGCGAAAAAUCACAAUCAAUUCUCAAAUACAGUGACCCAAUAGAAGUUACAAAUAGUGAUUUAACUAUUGAUAAAGGAACUGAAGAUGAUGGCGACAAAGUAAUUCAUAAUCAAGAAAAUUUGAUCGUUCCGCCAUUAGAUAAGAAAUUAGAAAAUGAAAUGCUUGAAGAAGGUGCCGAAAUGACAAACGAAGCGUCAAACCAAAAACAGGAAAUUGAUGCAAAUAUACAAGAUGAAGAGUAAAUAAAACCUAAAGAAAAACCAUCACAGAAAUUGGAAAGACCAAACGGCGAAAACUGACGAGAAUGCUGCGAAAGAUGACUAAGAAUUAGACUAUAAAUAUAACAUAUUAAAACCUUAACAGAUAUCACUUUAAUACCCAAAUUUUGCAGAAUCACAAUAGCCCGCCUUCCCCAUUUUCUCAAAUAUUAAGCAGAAUACCACAAAAGAUAUAAUGGAACAAUUUGUUAAAAGCAAGCGAGAGGAAGCAACAUCAAAUUAAGAUAACCUUUAAUUGCGCGUAAUGGAGCGUAUUUAUAAAUUAUCUUCAGUUCUUUUCUUUUGUUGUUUUCUGAAUUUGACUAUAUAUUGAAAUAAUAUUACUUUUUUCUUUUUUUAUUACAAAAACUAGUAAAAACCGAGUAUGUAUUGUAUAUCCGUUAAAUUUACAACACACUUCUUAAAUUCUUAUACACGAUUUCGGAGAGAGGAAAAAAGGGGAUUCUUCUUGUCUAUGGAAUAAGGAGAAAAAAAAAAAAUAAAUUUGACAAUUGUUUACUGAUGCAACAGCAUGUAUGAUUUGAUAUUGGUGCGAAUGCAUAGUAUCUUCAUUAUUUAAAAAAUAUAGGAGGGUAUUAGUGGGGGUGUU